This 707-nucleotide ribosomal RNA is filed under the name uncultured fungus. Its description in RNAcentral is "eukaryotic LSU rRNA". The stretch from base 269 to 422 matches the Rfam family "5.8S ribosomal RNA". The record is from RNAcentral. Lineage: Eukaryota; Fungi.
UAGAGGAAGUAAAAGUCGUAACAAGGUUUCCGUAGGUGAACCUGCGGAAGGAUCAUUAUCGUACUGCUGAGACACAAGGGCUGUUGCUGACCCUUUACAAAGGUCGUGCACGCCCAAGUGCUCUCACUUACAAUCUACUUCACCCCUUGUGCAUUACUGCGCAGGGCUUCCCUCUGGGCUUGCUUUGAGGGAGGCUUGCGUUUUUUUCCUACACAAACACCUAGUUAGUUUGGAAUGUCAUUUAUUUGCAAUAACAUGCAAUCAAUACAACUUUCAACAACGGAUCUCUUGGCUCUCGCAUCGAUGAAGAACGCAGCGAAAUGCGAUACGUAAUGUGAAUUGCAGAAUUCAGUGAAUCAUCGAAUCUUUGAACGCACCUUGCGCCCCUUGGCAUUCUGAGGGGCACACCCGUUUGAGUGUCGUGAAAUUCUCAAACCUUCUUGGUUUUUUUUUUGACCAAGAUGGCUUUGGACUUUGGAGGUAUUUUGCUGGCUUUGCAGAAAGCUAGCUCCUCUUAAACACAUUAGUGGGGUCUCCAUUGCUGAUCCCCAGACAUGAUAAGAUAUUUCUGUGUCUUGGGAUUUGCUCUGUUUUCCAAGGAACCUGCUUCUAACUGUCUCACCUGAGACACUGUUCGAGCUUGCUCGGCCAACGAACCUUGACCUCAAAUCGGGUGANACUACCCGCUGAACUUAAGCAUAUCAAUA